AAAGGUUAUCGAGCGAAUCGAUUUGUUUUGAUUAUUAAAUUUUGUUGAAGUUUUAUUAGAAAAAUAUUUUUUAGGUUUAGUUGGUUGGAGAAGAAUCUAUGUCAGCUAUAGAGUAGAGUACUGUAAGGGGAAGUUGAAGUAGUAUAGGGCACAUACUGUAAAAGUAAAGUUAAAAGCUUGUACCUUGUGUAUUAGGGAUAUUUUAUAUAAGUUAGCUAUGAUAUUUAUCCCGAAAGAGGAAGAGUUAAAUUAAUAAUUGAGUUUUUGUUGUAAAAAAAUUUAGAAUUUUAAUUUAGUGGUGAAAUGUUAGUCGGGUCCCCUGAUAUCUGGUUUUUUUGGAAAUAAAUUGAAUUUAGUUUUUAUAUAGUGAUGUAUAAAAUGAAGGAACAGGAGGGGAGAGCUUUUUGUUUAAGUUUUAAUGUUUUAUAAGGAAGUAAGUGAGAGCAAGUUUAACUAGGCUUAGAAGUAGCUUUGUUUGUAUGGUGUUAUAACUAAAAUUUGUAGUGAUUGUAUUUUUCUUUUUUUAGAUAGUUACAGAAAAUUGUUUUUAAGUUUAUGAGAUGCAGUUAUAAUUGAUAUAUUAGUAUAUAGUGUAAAUAUUGAGGGAAAAUGGAAUAAGGAAUAUUAAUGUAAGCAUUAUUUAGUAGAGGAAUUCGGCAAAAAUUGUUUCCGCCUGUUUAUCAAAAACAUGUCUGUAUGAGAGGUUUAUAGAGUCUGGCCUGCCCAUUGGGAACUAAAAGGCCGCGGUAUUUUGACCGUGCGAAGGUAGCAUAAUCAUUAGUCUUUUAAUUGAAGGCUUGUAUGAAGGGUUAGACGAGAAGUCAGCUGUCUUUAUUGAAAAGAUGGAAUUUAACUUUUAAGUGAGAGGGCUUAAAUAUUCUAAGGGGACGAUAAGACCCUAUAAAGUUUGAUAUUUAAUUUUUUAAAAAAUAAGAUAAAUAGGUAAAGUUAGUUAGAAAAAAGAUGUUUUGUUGGGGCGACAAGAAUAUAAAUUAUAUAACUGUUUUUAUAUUCAUACAACGAUAAUUGAAUUUAUGAACCUUUGUAAAGGUAAUAGAGUAAAUUACUUUAGGGAUAACAGCGUAAUUUUUUUUGAGAGUUCUUAUCGACAAAAAAGUUUGCGACCUCGAUGUUGAAUUAAAGGUUCUUUGUAAUGUAGCAGUUACAGGAGAAGGUCUGUUCGACCUUUAAAUCUUUACGUGAUUUGAGUUCAGACCGGCGUGAGCCAGGUUGGUUUCUAUCUUUUAGAUUUGAUUAGGUUGCUUUAGUACGAAAGGAUUGAGUAACUAAAAUAUUUUUAUUAUUGAAUUUCAGAGAAAAAAGAAAUUAUCUUUUAACUUUAAUUUCCAAAAUUAAUAUUUUAUAAACU
This 1369-nucleotide ribosomal RNA is filed under the name Gramastacus insolitus. Its description in RNAcentral is "16S ribosomal RNA". The stretch from base 585 to 1369 matches the Rfam family "Archaeal large subunit ribosomal RNA", at positions 1423 to 2889 of the family's 2987-position model. Lineage: Eukaryota; Metazoa; Arthropoda; Malacostraca; Decapoda; Parastacidae. The record is from RNAcentral.